UUGAUGGCGACCGACGCACGGGUGAGUAACGCGUAUCCAACCUGCCUUUACUAUGGGACAGCCCGUCGAAAGGCGGAUUAAUACCGUAUGUUGUCAUGUUGAUGCAUAUUUUCAUGACCAAAGGCUUCGGCCGGUAAAGGAUGGGGAUGCGUCUGAUUAGCUUGCCGGCGGGGUAACGGCCCACCGGGGCGACGAUCAGUAGGGGUUCUGAGAGGAAGGUCCCCCACAUUGGAACUGAGACACGGUCCAAACUCCUACGGAAGGCAGCAG
This 270-nucleotide ribosomal RNA is filed under the name uncultured bacterium. Its description in RNAcentral is "partial 16S ribosomal RNA". It matches the Rfam family "Bacterial small subunit ribosomal RNA", at positions 85 to 354 of the family's 1533-position model. The record is from RNAcentral.